ACCAGUGUAAAAAAAAUGGCAGCCCCCAUGCGUCGUCAUCUGGAGACAGUUAAGUGAUUAUGACGGUGUAAUUAUCUUCAGUAUCCACAUUACAAUCACAAACUUAAGGGAGGCAGUAGAUUUCAGUAGAGGCUGUUGAUAACUGUUGUAAAACGUGAAUUUGAAGAGCGAAUUUCCGUUUAUUAAUUGAUAAUUGACAUGGCAAGUAAGCAGAAACAACGGACGAAGGGAAAUUUACGGCCAUCCAGCAGCGGCCGCGCUGCAGAGCUUCUGGCCAGAGAAGGUGGGACCAGUCCGGGGGCAUCUGGCUUCAUUGGCUUCGGCGCAAUGUCCGGGGACCUGGGCUACGUGCCUGCUGCCCAGUCGCUGAGUCUGGAGUCAGACCAGGACUCCUCGCUGGAGGCCGACUUCCGCAUGGCGCUGAGGAAGCUGACAAAGAGAGAUGUGGUUACCAAAUUAAAGGCCAUUCAGGAGUUUGGCGCCCUCUGCACCGAGAAGAAUGUGGAGGCAGUGAAAGGCACCCUUCCCCACUGGCCGAGGAUCUACAGUCGACUGGCAACCGACCACGACAAGCGCGUCAGGGAGGCCAUGCAGCAGGCCUUCGAGCAGCUGGUCCUGCGUGUCCGUCGCAGCUUGGCCCCCCAGCUUCGCCCCCUGAUGGGGACCUGGCUGCUGUCGCAGUGUGACACCUAUGCUCCGGCCGCGCUCUCGGCGAGGGCAGCCUUCCAGAGCACCUUCCCCGCGGCCAAGCAAGGGGAGGCGGUGGCCUUCUGCAAGAUGGAAGUGCUCAGGUAUCUUGAAGACAACCUCUUCAAAGAGACGGCAGCCUCACUGAGUGACCCCAGGUCCUACACCCCUGAGGAACAAGAGGAGAAAUAUCUUCGCAUUCUGACCUCCUCGCUGCUGGCCCUUGGUGAGUUUGUGACAGUGCUGCCGGAGAAGGAGAUUUCCUCCGUUCAGGACAUCCUCGCAUCCAUCUUGGCCGAGGGCAAGCUCUGGAAACUUGCCAAGAGCAAAUCACCACAGCUGCGGAGUGCCAUGUACUCUCUCCAGGGCAGCCUGAUCAAGAGUGUGCCCUCUAUUGCUGAGGCCCAGCUAGCCUGUAUAUCCACCACCCUGCUAGGGGGCCUUGAUGAAUCGGACCCCUUAGCUGUGCAAGCACUGUGGGAAUCAGUGCUCUUGCUUAUGUCUACGUUCCCUAAUUGCUGGGAGCAUGUGAACGUUCGCAAGGCCAUCCUCCCAAAGCUCUGGGCCAUGCUGAGAGCAGGAGGCAAUGGUAGCGCCACGGUCAUAUACCCUCAUCUGCUACCCUUGCUCAGUCACAUUCCGCCCGAUGUCAUGGGGUCAGGGAUAGGGUUCUAUCUGGAGUUCUUCGGCAAUAUCAAAGAAGGACUGACUUGCAGCUCAGCCAGGCAGAGCACCAGUGAAUAUGGAGCCAUCAUUAAGUCCUAUAUGGAAUGUCUGCGGUACUCAAUCUCUCAAACAGUUACCAGUGAUGGAGCAGAGGAUAUUCAGAGUCUUCAAGCCUACCUCAUUCAGGAAGAGUUGAUGCCUGUCCUCAGACAGUCAAUAACUGACGAUGACAGUCAGCUAGCGACCACCUCCCUCUAUCUCCAUACCUCGAAGCUAUUAUCCCACCUGUGCAAGCAGCUUGAGAAGGCUCCUGCCAGGGACGCUCUCCGAAUGUUCUGGACGAGUCUCAGCAGCAUAUGCUCAGAGCAGGUCGGCCCUGCAGAAAUUAGCCAAAAUGCCAGCAGAUCCCUGGAAAAGAUGGCAGUGCUUCUCACGCAACUCCAGUGUCCGGAUAAGUCGCUCACGGCCAAAAUGAUGAAGAAACGGAGCGUGUCGUUCUCUGAGGAUGGGCCCCCUGCUCCAGUCGAGACUGAGGUCAAAUCGUCAUUGCAGGCCGUCUUUCAGAGAUAUCCGGAGCUAAUCCGCCUCGUUCGCAAACUCGUGAGGAACAGCUGUGGGCUUGCUCGCACUGGUUCGCUGCCCCACCUGUCGCUUCUUGUCAAAUUGCUUGAUUCCUUUCAGCUGGCUGAGGUUUUCGAGGAGCUAUUAGGAGGAAACAGUGAAGAGGAAUAUGGUGAACCAAGAAGUGAAGAAGGGGUGCAGGAAUCAAAAACUUCAGAUGGGGGUUACUCAGAGACAGGCCAUGAAGACAGUGACUCAAAACUCCCAUGCUCCAAAGUCCAGUCUUCAGAUAUCGCCGACGAUGCUAAGGACUCCUCGAUUGUCAUUCAGAGGUGCUUCGAGGAGGUUCUCUUGCCGUGGGUGCAGUCAGAAGAAGAGAGGCAACAUGGGGAAGAGGAGGCACAGAGGCCUGCGAAGGAGGUCCUGCCUUAUGUGGUGAAUCUUGUGGCUGCUGGUUUCUGCUACUGUGACGACGAGCAAAAGAAAGCCAUCCUUGAUGAGUUCUGCCAACAGACCAGUAGACCACAGACGUUGUACCUCCUGAUAAAGAAGAUCUUAGACUCCUCUCACAGCGCCUGCGUCAGGGCAUGGCUCAAGUCGGCCGUGUUUGGAGAGAAGCUAUUGAAGCUCACUGACAUGCUGUGCUCCCAGGCACUUGAUGGGGAGGCAAACGGCUCAGCAUCGCAGAGCUGGGACUUGAUCAACUUGGGGCUGUCCAUGGAGGCCGAAGAAGAGCCCAGAGUUCACUCUGGCUAUGCCGACCAAAUCCUGUGCAAGUUCACUGACACUCUGCUGAGGUCAAAGGUCAGACUGGAAGGCAACGAGCAGGGAGUUGAUAACUGCAUCAGCUUCAUCUGCGAUGUGGCCGCCAACUUCUUCAGUGCAGUCAAGGGAUGUCUUUUGAUUUCCUCUGCUGAAGACCUGCUCCUGGCCCUGUUCCAACUGAGCUGUAAAGAGGCGACAAACUUUCCAGAACCUGUUCAGAAGAAAAUCUUAUCAGCGUGGACUAAUGGGGCAGAGUCGCUCAUCCGGCAAACAGGGGGGUUCCUGAAGGAGGAGGGGUUCCUCUGCAGGGCGGCCGGCUGGAUUAAAUUGUGCCUCAAGCAAGGCCCGCACAGCCUACUCAGCAUUGAGUUACUAGCCAAGCCAGCGAUGACCUUGAGUGGCCUUGUAUCGUCCAGCCUACCACUGAGUGAGGACCAUGAUGCUCUGAGUACAGCAGAGAGUUUUGCCGCACUGUUGAUGCCAUCGGAGACUGAGUGGGACAAGAACCUGGCUAUGUCCAAUCAGUGGAUGGUGUCAUCCUUUCUAGAUGAAACCUUGACCUUUACUGAACUUCCAGAGAUGACCCCCACUGACCCUGUCACCAUGCCAACAGGGCUUGUCCACUCUGUGUAUGUUGCUACGCUCCUCAGGCCGUCCGAAAUAUCAACCAGUCCUGAGGUCGACAGCGAGUCCGUGCUGGAAGCAGAAGAGCUUGCUGAGCAAGACAAGGAUGAGUUAGACAGAUGCGUCACUUCGGCCCAGUUACCAUGGAGAUUUGAUGUUAUAGCGCAGGCACUGAAGGGACUGUUGUAUGCUCUGCAGUGGUGUAAAGGAACCAUGGGCCUUAAUGCAUUGACCAAUCAGAUUCCUCAGCAGAAUUUUGGCGUUGAAAUGCCAUCGUAUUGUGUUGAGGUUGCCACGGUCAUCAACACAACACUCGAAGGUGUCUGGAAGGGCCUGAGCAACGACGAUUGGAAGAGGCUGGUGGGGGACAUUCUUGACAUGUCCAUGAUAGCCGGUAACCUGUGGUCAUCAUCCUUGUCCUAUCUGCUGAGCUGCUACUCAAGGUACCAGGGAAAGCACAGGGAACUCAGCCUACUACAACUUGCUCAGGGCACAGACAGAUUUGCUGUCCUGUCUUUAUUGGCAAUCCACACCUUGGAAGCUAUCCUACCUCACCUGAGCCAGGCACAGAGGCUGGAGUUGUUAGAGAUCAACACAGCCAAGCUUUUAUCCUCAGAGAAAGAGAUGGUGGCUCAUGUUGAUGGUGGCCUGGGGAGCAUGUCGGUAGUCGCAGCCAUCGUCCGGCAGCCAGACGGCUUUGAUGUUGCCAGCCAUGCUGAGGUUGUGGCUAGCUGCAUCCAGCAACUCAUGAAAUGGAGGGAGGACUAUCUGGAAUUGUUUCUCUUUGGAAAAGACCUUCACGAAGUAUCAAUUUUAAACGACGUGUUCAUCAAUGUCAAGAUGAUGCAAUUAAUACGGCUAGUCAUAGAAAAGUUGCCCACAGCACUGAGUGAGCCAUCCUGGGACUUCAUGCUUUGCUCCGUUGUAGCUUGGAUCCAGACCUGCAGUCAGAGUAGCGACCAUGCCCUGUCCUCCACCCUCACCGCUGCAUUCUGCUGUACGGCCUUUGACCUCUUGACCUCAGCCGCAACCCUGCUGGGCAGUCCCGGUGGUCAUUCGUCCCUCCCUGCCAACCUAUGCACAGAGUGGGUGGAGUUUUACAGCGACGCGGCCUUCACGCUGGUGCUGCCUGCGUUUGUCAGGAUAGUCGAGGCUACUGAUUCUGACCAUCUGUCAGUCCUGAGACAUCACCUGCUCCAGUCAGCAUCGGACGCAGUCCGCCACCACCCAUCAGAACAACUCAGGAAACACACGUUUCCACCAAAGUCCUCGCUGUCUGUGGGAGCAGCAAAGCUAACCGAUAAUUUCAACACAUCCCAGGAUGCAGUUCAUAUCCUUUUGGACCGUUUGUGCCCUAUGCUUCUGAAGACAGAUCGAUCAGUCAAACUGGCAGCAUUCCAGCUCCUAGAAAAGGUUAUGGAUGGAGUUGCCAAAGCAGAUGAGGAACGUGUAAAAGAGGAGGCAAACAGUGACAAGGAUCAGAGGGAGGAGGAAUCAGCAAUAACACCUCCAGAACCUUUGAAGGAAAUCUUAGACUCCACGUCAGCCUACAUGGAAGCCAUCUUGACUGAUAUCCCAGUCGGAGAAUGCCUUACGAUGGACCCUACCAGCACAGGCUACCACCAGAGUCUGUCCAGCGUGCUGACUUACCUGUUAGUGUGGAGACUAUACCUGAGGAUGUUCAAAGCUGCUUCAGCAGAGGUCCGAGCCAAGUAUGCCAAUUACCUUCGUCAGACAGACGGUGUGGCCAGCCUGAUGGCAGACAUUUUCAGACUGAUGCCUGACCCCCCUUUGAUCAGUGGUCCUACCCCCAAGGGACCUGCACCCAGGAAUAUGUUCAACAUAGCUCCGCCAAUGAAAGCCAAAGGUAUCUCCCCAAGCCAGGAAGAGAUUCAGCAUCAGGCUUGCACCCUGUAUUACAGUAUCCUGGAGGACCUACCAGCCAUGGUGCGACAGUGGUGGACAAAUCAGGAUAAGAAGGUGGCUUCCAUUGUUGACAGGUUCACAACCAAAUAUGCCAGCCCCCUCCUCGCAGCCCAAGAGGUCGUAGGUGUACAGACUGCGCCGCAGACCUUUGAGAACAUGACGGUCAAGGCGCGCUCUGCCACGCGCGAGGUGGUGGCCACCUACACCAUGCAGGAUCUGACCAUGGACCUGACCGUUCGCAUUCCAGCCAACCACCCGCUAGGCAUCAUCGCCGUGGACAGCGAGAAAAAAGUUGGGGUGGGGACCACGCAAUGGCGAAACUGGACAUUACAACUGACCACAUUCCUACGCAACCAAAAUGGCAGCAUCAUGGACGGCCUGACGCUGUGGAAACGCAAUGUUGACAAGCGCUUUGAGGGGGUGGACGACUGCAUGAUCUGCUUCUCGGUCAUCCAUGGCUCCAACUGUUCCCUGCCCAAGCUGCAGUGCAAGACCUGCAAGAAACGGUACCACUCAGCCUGCCUGUACAAGUGGUUCAGCACCAGUAACCAGUCUACCUGUCCUAUGUGCCGAAGCCCCUUCUAAUUCCCUCAGUGGGGAUUGGGCCCGGCCUCUCACUCCUGCAGCACCACCUCCACUCCUCCGCAGACAGGAACCUUGUCACUGGCCGUGCUACUCAGCACAGUACUGUACCUUGCUGUGUGCAGCUAGGACACAGAAGAAAUACUCAUUCCAAGCAGAUUUCAUCUUUAUGUUCAUGAGAACAGAAGCAGUGCAUCGUUUCCUUUCGUAAUACAACAAAGAAAAGAAGAUUAAGUGCUUAGAAUACUUACCCCUCAUGAUCAAGAUAAGG
RNAcentral lists this unclassified non-coding RNA (6082 nucleotides) under Acanthaster planci (crown-of-thorns starfish). RNAcentral's name for it is "e3 ubiquitin-protein ligase listerin-like, transcript variant X1". The record is from RNAcentral. Lineage: Eukaryota; Metazoa; Echinodermata; Asteroidea; Valvatida; Acanthasteridae.